GGAUAUAGCUCAGUGGUCAGAGUAUUGGACUCGUAAUUUAAAGGCUUGGGUUCAAAUUCUGUACUUUUAACU
RNAcentral lists this transfer RNA (72 nucleotides) under Rhamnusium bicolor. Its description in RNAcentral is "tRNA-OTHER". It matches the Rfam family "tRNA". Rfam says of the family: Transfer RNA (tRNA) molecules are approximately 80 nucleotides in length. Their secondary structure includes four short double-helical elements and three loops (D, anti-codon, and T loops). Lineage: Eukaryota; Metazoa; Arthropoda; Insecta; Coleoptera; Cerambycidae. The record is from RNAcentral.